UGGGAUUCAUGGAUUAAAACCCCCCAGGAUGGGAAUAUCAUUGGAAUUCCAUAGGAAUUCCAUGGGAUUCAGGGAUUAACCCCCCCCCUGUACUCGCCUCAUCCCGCACGUCCUGCGCCAGAUCCCGACACUGAUCCAAUGGGAUCCCGCUGCCCAGCUCCAUGGUGAGGACCCGCGAUGCCGACAGCUCCUCCACCACCCGCGGCACAGAGAAGAAGGGAUCAUCCCGAAGGAGAUCCCUUAGGAAAAGGCAUGGGAAGCAUGAAGCUCUUUCUGCAGCACUUCCAGGGAUUUCUCAGCAAAAAGGCCUGGAAAAGGGAUUGGGAAGGAAAAGGUUGGGAAAAGAUGGAUUUGGGACCCAUAUCCCACUGUUAUCCAUUGGGAUUCCCAACUCACCCUUGGGCAAAGCAGAGCUCAUCCGGAGCAGAGCCAAGAGGUUUUCCACGUCGCUGCGGAUGCUCUGGGCGAUACCGGGAUACUAUGGGAAUACCGGGAUCAAAGAGGCCCCAAAUCCCCCCUUUUUCACCCCAAAAUCCUGCUUCCCACCUGGAUCUUGAUGGCCACUCGGGUCCCAUCCUGCAGCAUCCCAAGGUGCACUUGGCCAAUGGAAGCAGCCGCAAAGGGAAUAUCCUGGAAUUCCAAGAGCUUAUCCCUCCAGCCGGGACCCAGCUCCUCA
This is a long non-coding RNA of Melopsittacus undulatus (budgerigar), 676 nucleotides long. RefSeq lists it as uncharacterized. Lineage: Eukaryota; Metazoa; Chordata; Aves; Psittaciformes; Psittaculidae. The transcript has 2 exons. The record is from RefSeq and is a predicted model, not a curated record.